This 4377-nucleotide long non-coding RNA is filed under the name Rattus norvegicus (Norway rat). RNAcentral's name for it is "long non-coding RNA NONRATT018400". The record is from RNAcentral. Lineage: Eukaryota; Metazoa; Chordata; Mammalia; Rodentia; Muridae.
GGAAGCAGUGAUUCUGCUCGGGGACAUGUUCAGCAUCACCGUGAGGGACCAGGUACCUCGUGUCUGCAUUUUGAGUUCUUGCAUCAUACCUGCUGUAGCAACAGAGCCCACUCCAAAUACUCAGCCCACAUAAUUUUCCCCAAACAGUCCUAAUUGCCAACCCUGUGUGGGAAAUUGAGGGCCUCUGGCAAACAAGCUUGAACACUCCUGACAUUUGGUGCAAGAUUUGCACAACAACAGCAACUGUCUCCACACAUGCAGGUAGACAAGCACAUUCAUUCUGAGACAACCCUCACACCAUCAGGGAUGUGCAGAUGGAGCUGACUGAUUUCAGUAGAAAGUUUUCCUCUUUAUCAAGAGGAAACAUGCAUAAGGGACAUCAUCAUAGGGAGAGAUGCUGUCACUUACAAGAUUGGAGUUAGUUUUCCCGUUUGCCCCUGCCCUUCCCAUGUUAACACAGUGUCUAAGUCAUCACAGCGGUGAGAGGUGGCUGUACCUUACUCUCUCUGGUUCUGUUACAAAAGGCCAUAGUUUGCAUUUUGGCUGUCUGACCAAAUCUCAGCCAGAAUUAAAUUGCUGUAUUUAGUUUUCAGCCCUUCAAAUGUGGGGGAGCAACACAGACAGCCAGGUCAGAAAGGGUUAAUUUUUGUUGAUGGUGAUGAUGGUUGGGUUUUUCUCUCCUUUCAAGGUGACAGAAGAUCUAAAGGGAGAGCAGAAAGAUGUUUCUUAACUGAUCCACUUAAGGUCACUGCAGAAAAGCAGGAGAAGUCCAGAAGGUCCUGGGGCAUUAGGCUCACACUAACACUCUGAAUCAUUCAUUUCUCAUCAUUUUUUUUCCUCUGCUGAGUCUUGUUUUAUCCUGUGAUCCAUUUAUCCAUUUUGGUAUUUUUAAGUCUUUCUGAUUGUAUUUUGAGGAACUUUUAGGCUGAGAAUAAAAUCUACUAUUGGGACAGACCUGUGCUCUGCAGAGGCAUCAGGUGACCCAGACAACGGGUGGCAGAAUAUCUGGGUUCCUCUAGAGACACCCCCAAUCCCUGGGUGAGCUUUGGAACCUAACAACUGAUUGUUAUCCUUAUCACCAUCCUCUGGGACAUGGGGAUGAUGCAGUCAGACAGAGACUUGCUACUUCUUGGCUCUGUUUCUCCCCAUGGCAACCAUUUAGCCUGCCUGGAAGUGGCCUGCUGCCUUAGGUAGGGGACAGAGACACUCAUAGACCAAGGAAGUGGUCAAACCGAUCACUAAUUUUUCUCCAUGCUACAUCAAAUUCCCUAACACACACAACUAGAAACUCAGCUCCUGGGUGUCUUAGUACCCACAAAGUCACUUUCCUGUUAUAAUUGCCUUCGGUAUCCAGAUUCUUCUACAAACCAACUCCACCCCAACUCUUUCCUCUUUCUUCCCUCCUCCCUAAAAUCUCAGCAUCCCAUCCCCACCUUGCACAACACAACACAGACCAGAUCAGCUGGUCACUAUAGAGAUUUGUAUAUAUUAAAACAAACCUACUUUUUGGAGAAUUUUUUGUAUAUUCUUUUUCUAUUUGUUUUCUACAGAUUGAGGAGAGAGCUGGCAAACUGUGAAUCUAAUUUUAUCUUGAUGCCAGCAGAUAUAUUUUGGCUUCCCGGUCUGAAUCUGUGUUACUAGGGACGGCAUAUCGCCCUCUGAUCAGUAUUGCAUCUCCAGUCUACAAAGUUACUUUGGCCCAAUCUUACAUUCUUUCUUCCACAAAUCCCCAAAUUUCUUUGUUAUUAUUUAUACAGAGAAAUAUUUAUAGUCCUGGAUAUCACAAGUUUAAUGUUAAUUUAACUUUUAAUAAUGUUACACAUUUAUAUCUAUUCUUCAAAAAUCAUAAAGACUCAGAGUAGGCUGAUAUAGUCUCUUUGGUAUCUGCAAUUUUUUCAGACAGAUAUUUUCUUAUGAUAUUUUCUAUACAACCACAUAGAUAGAAGUAUAGCUAAUUAGAGCACAUGUUUCUAUAGCAAUUUGGGGUAUCAACUGUUUUCUGAGCAUACAGACACAUUUGAGAAAUUUUGGAACUCAGUCCUUAAUGAUGCAAUUCGACCAAACUCAGAACAAGGAAUUGCUUAAGCCCCUUAGGUAGUUAGGGUAUAUGCAUCUGAACAGUUAAUCCUUCAACAUCAAGGAAUGGUGCUGACUGCUUUUUUCCAACACCAGUCCUUGUUUUCCCAACUGACCUUCCUAAUUUUUCUGUCUCAUAAAAUGAAUAAAGGCUGGUGCUAAUAGCAGGACUGCUUCUCUAUCAGAAUCUCCAUGCAUUACUAGAUGUUUAUGUGAAAAUUGGCCUAAUAAAAUGUAGAGUAGCAACAGCUGAGGAUGGCUGGUAAGGAAAGAAUUCAGGUCAGUUUUGGUGCAGUUAUGUCUUGCCAAGAAAAAAUGAUAGCAAAACCUCACAUUGUUAUAUGAAUUGAACAUAUAUUUUUAAGAAGAAAUUAAAGACAACAUAUUUUUAGUACCCAUUCAGAAUCCAUGCUGUAUCACUGGGGCGCUGGAGCUGGGAGUUAGAAUCAUACUGGGAUUAUUUAGAAUUAAACCCCAAUAGUUUAUCCUCAGGUAGGCAACAGACUGAUGUGACCUUCCCACAAAGUAAACCAGUAGUCACGGAAAACACAAGGUGUCUUUUCUCCACCAAACACACUCUCUGCAAUGGUGGGGAGACUGGUAUUUUACUGUGCUUGAAAGAAUAAAUAGCCUGUUAUAUAGAUGACAUAUUAGGAUGUAUUCAAGCCUGCUCCUCAUUAAGCGAACAGAUUAGAUGUGCCAUCAACUGGCUAAGAUUGUAUCUGUUUUCACAGCUAGCUAUCAGAGCAUGACUUUCUUGUGUGUAUACGUUGAUACUUGGUUCACGCAUGAAGACAGUGCCUAUGCACUUUGUGUAGCUAUAAUGUAGGUAUUUGUGUGUAAUUUCAGUGAAGCAGUGUAUUGAUGUAAUUUAAUUUAACUGUUUUUCUUGGCUGUUUAUCUAAAUGCAAUAGAUAUGACCAUGACCAUUUGGAAACCUUUCUUUGCAGUCUUAGGUAUCAACUAAGAGUUAUUUCUUAAUGUGAUCUGAGUGAAGAGCUUACCUAUGAAACCUCUGUACUGAUGACUGUUUGAAAAUCUCUAGUCUAGCACCUUUGUAAAUACAGCCCUGAGCUGGGAUGGGGUUGAAUGUGUUUCCUGUUACUCAGUGAAGUGUCAUCUUAUGCCUGCAUCAUUCCUAUUCAAUGUACGUGUGGAACUUGUGGUUACCAAGUCUGAGGGAGGUUCAGAAUGAAGAUGCUCAUCUCUCCUCCCUCACAGUGGACUGGGCUUAAAAAAUGUCCAUUUCCUCCUCAUACUCAAAUCAUGUCUUUGGGGAAGUGUCAACUUCUCAGGUUGUCAUAUCUUCACCAUGAUGACCAUGGCCUAAGAUUAUAAAGAACUUUGCUACCCUUAACUUUCUGAGUUAGAGUACAAGAAUGCAUUUACUGAUUAGCAACCAUGCAGGUGAGACACCCCCUCCUGAAAGCACAGUCUGGCAGCAAAUUGCACACUUGUGAGAGAAUGACAGAGUACUAGAAGCACACCGAGACCUGGAGCCAGCAACAGCCAGGGGCCAGCAAUGGUCAAGGACCAGCAAAGGCCAACGGCCAACCUUGGCACCGGAGGAGGACCAACCUCUGAUGCACUGAUCCUGAGUAUGUGACAGGAGGCUGGUCUCCUCUACCCAGUAAUGCUCUGUUUGCGUGAAUGAGAUUAACAAUGGCAAUUAGAUGUGAUCUCCCAAACCACAUUCUCACUAAUUACCAUACUGGGAGCUUUGUAGUUCCUAUAAGCCCUUUCUUCCCCACAAAGAAGAAACAACAUUGUGCUGGAGAGUACCCCUCCCUUUUCUCACAGAUCAUGGAGAUGUGAAGCAAGCACACUCAUUUUCAGGGGCUUCUCCAGAUGUGUGGAGUGAGGGGAUGUGGUGGCUGUAUCCUUCAAAUUAUGAAUGAAAACAAAGUACAGAAAGGAAAGGAGACUUUAGGCAGGAUUAUUUUUGAAUGAAAGAUAAGACUAAUGGUUUCUCUCCCAUUCCCAGUCCCCAUUGGUCUGAUGUCAUGUAGCAUAGUACAUCUAUAGCACAUGGUAUUUAAAGACUAAUGAAUGCAAAGAGACUAAUUUGGGGGCUGUUUCUUAUAUAUGGUACUAGGAAAUGCCUUGUUGGCAAAGCACACCUUGGGUAGUUGAGAUCUCCUAUGUUUGUAUUUAGCUUUUCUUGUGACUGUAACAUUUCAUGUGUAAAAUAACUGGAUAUUCUUCAUAUGAUGGAAAUAACCUGUGAAUUCAAUCUUUCAUCGAGUGUUUUAACUCCCGUGUACAUAUAUAUCUCAUCAAUAAAUGUGGAUUCCAAUUUCU